CUUUCUCCGCCGGCGGCCGGCGCACGGGUGAGUAACACGUAUGCAACCUGCCCCUGUCAGGGGGACAACCCGCCGAAAGGCGGGCUAAACCCGCGUACAUGCCACCGGGGCAUCCCGGAGGCAGGAAAGGCUUCGGCCGGACAGGGAUGGGCAUGCGGCGCAUUAGGCAGUAGGCGGGGUAACGGCCCACCUAACCGACGAUGCGUAGGGGUUCUGAGAGGAAGGUCCCCCACACUGGUACUGAGACACGGACCAGACUCCUACGGGAGGCAGCAG
Molecule: ribosomal RNA, 276 nt
Filed under: uncultured bacterium
Lineage: Bacteria
Description: partial 16S ribosomal RNA
Rfam family: Bacterial small subunit ribosomal RNA
Source: RNAcentral